UACAGAGGUCCCAAGCGUUGUUCGGAUUCACUGGGCGUAAAGGGUGCGUAGGCGGUUGGGUAAGUCUGUCGUGAAAUCUCCGAGCCUAACUCGGAAACUGCGUCGGAUACUAUUCAACUCGAGGAAUGGAGGGGAGACUGGAAUUCUCGGUGUAGCAGUGAAAUGCGUAGAUAUCGAGAGGAACACCAGUGGCGAAGGCGAGUCUCUGGACAUUUCCUGACGCUGAGGCACGAAAGCUAGGGGAGCAAACAGG
This 253-nucleotide ribosomal RNA is filed under the name uncultured bacterium. RNAcentral describes it as "partial 16S ribosomal RNA". It matches the Rfam family "Bacterial small subunit ribosomal RNA", at positions 524 to 776 of the family's 1533-position model. The record is from RNAcentral.